GCCUCUGUGGCGGAACGGUAGACGCGGCAGACUCAAAAUCUGCUAUUCGCAAGGGUGUGGGGGUUCGAGUCCCUCCAGAGGCACCA
RNAcentral lists this transfer RNA (86 nucleotides) under Hyphomicrobium sp. Its description in RNAcentral is "tRNA-Leu". It matches the Rfam family "tRNA". Rfam says of the family: Transfer RNA (tRNA) molecules are approximately 80 nucleotides in length. Lineage: Bacteria; Pseudomonadati; Pseudomonadota; Alphaproteobacteria; Hyphomicrobiales; Hyphomicrobiaceae. The record is from RNAcentral.